CUGGGAUUACAGCUCCUGGCCUGCGCGGCUUCCGGAUCCUUGGUCUGCGCUCCAGCGUGGGCCCGGCUGUGCAGGCACGAAGUGUCCAUCAGAGCGUGGCCACCGAUGGCCCAAGCAGCACCCAGCCUGCCCUGCCAAAGGCCAGAGCCGUGGCUCCCAAACCCAGCAGCCGGGGCGAGUAUGUGGUGGCCAAGCUGGAUGACCUCGUCAACUGGGCCCGCCGGAGUUCUCUGUGGCCCAUGACCUUCGGCCUGGCCUGCUGCGCCGUGGAGAUGAUGCACAUGGCAGCACCCCGCUACGACAUGGACCGCUUCGGCGUGGUCUUCCGCGCCAGCCCGCGCCAGUCCGACGUCAUGAUCGUGGCCGGCACACUCACCAACAAGAUGGCCCCAGCGCUUCGCAAGGUAGGCCUCGUCCCAGCCGCCCAGCCGCCCCCAGAGUGAGCUGCGCACGGACCCCGCCUCUCUUCCAGGUCUACGACCAGAUGCCGGAGCCGCGCUACGUGGUCUCCAUGGGGAGCUGCGCCAACGGAGGAGGCUACUACCACUACUCCUACUCGGUGGUGAGGGGCUGCGACCGCAUCGUGCCCGUGGACAUCUACAUCCCAGGCUGCCCACCUACGGCCGAGGCCCUGCUCUAUGGCAUCCUGCAGCUGCAGAGGAAGAUCAAGCGGGAGCGGAGGCUGCAGAUCUGGUACCGCAGGUAGCGCCGCCGCCGGAGCCUGUCGCUGUCCUGUCCCCAGCCUGCUUGUGUCCCGUGAGGUUGUCAGUAAACCUGCCCUCGGGCUGCCGCC
This 793-nucleotide small RNA is filed under the name Pan troglodytes (chimpanzee). RNAcentral's name for it is "retained intron". Lineage: Eukaryota; Metazoa; Chordata; Mammalia; Primates; Hominidae. The record is from RNAcentral.